UACGUCACAUUCCACGGAGACAGAAUGCCCCAUGUUAAUAUUGUUUAUUUGCCGUACCGAACAAGGAAGUAUGUAAUAUUUAAACAGUAUAGACACGAGAUUAACAGUGCUCUGAAAAGGUCAACCUUCUAUAGGAUGUGGACAGCAUCGUUCCCACAUGUUAAAAUUAAAGAGAUUAAUUCGUUUUCAAAGUGUACAAAGUGUUCAUCAUUAGAAAGACGACUUGAAAAAACUACAAAUCCUCAAAUACGAGAAAAGUUGCUACAAAUGAGACAAGAUCAUAACACUCGACAAAUGGCAGAGAGAAAGUACUACUACAGAAAAAGAGAUCUAGCUAAAGCUCAUCCGACGCGGUAUUUAAGUUUGAUAAUAGAUGGCAUGGACCAGUGUAAG
Long non-coding RNA from Mytilus californianus (California mussel), 393 nucleotides. RefSeq lists it as uncharacterized. Lineage: Eukaryota; Metazoa; Mollusca; Bivalvia; Mytilida; Mytilidae. The transcript has 3 exons. The record is from RefSeq and is a predicted model, not a curated record.